CGGGACACGUGGUAUCCUGUCUGAAUAUGGGGGGACCAUCCUCCAAGGCUAAAUACUCCUGACUGACCGAUAGUGAACCAGUACCGUGAGGGAAAGGCGAAAAGAACCCCGGCGAGGGGAGUGAAAAAGAACCUGAAACCGUGUACGUACAAGCAGUGGGAGCACGCUUCGGCGUGUGACUGCGUACCUUUUGUAUAAUGGGUCAGCGACUUAUAUUCUGUAGCAAGGUUAACCGAAUAGGGGAGCCGAAGGGAAACCGAGUCUUAACUGGGCGUUAAGUUGCAGGGUAUAGACCCGAAACCCGGUGAUCUAGCCAUGGGCAGGUUGAAGGUUGGGUAACACUAACUGGAGGACCGAACCGACUAAUGUUGAAAAAUUAGCGGAUGACUUGUGGCUGGGGGUGAAAGGCCAAUCAAACCGGGAGAUAGCUGGUUCUCCCCGAAAGCUAUUUAGGUAGCGCCUCGUGAAUUCAUCUCCGGGGGUAGAGCACUGUUUCGGCAAGGGGGUCAUCCCGACUUACCAACCCGAUGCAAACUGCGAAUACCGGAGAAUGUUAUCACGGGAGACACACGGCGGGUGCUAACGUCCGUCGUGAAGAGGGAAACAACCCAGACCGCCAGCUAAGGUCCCAAAGUCAUGGUUAAGUGGGAAACGAUGUGGGAAGGCCCAGACAGCCAGGAUGUUGGCUUAGAAGCAGCCAUCAUUUAAAGAAAGCGUAAUAGCUCACUGGUCGAGUCGGCCUGCGCGGAAGAUGUAACGGGGCUAAACCAUGCACCGAAGCUGCGGCAGCGACACUAUGUGUUGUUGGGUAGGGGAGCGUUCUGUAAGCCUGUGAAGGUGUACUGUGAGGUAUGCUGGAGGUAUCAGAAGUGCGAAUGCUGACAUAAGUAACGAUAAAGCGGGUGAAAAGCCCGCUCGCCGGAAGACCAAGGGUUCCUGUCCAACGUUAA
Molecule: ribosomal RNA, 950 nt
Filed under: Escherichia coli
Lineage: Bacteria; Pseudomonadati; Pseudomonadota; Gammaproteobacteria; Enterobacterales; Enterobacteriaceae
Description: partial 23S ribosomal RNA
Rfam family: Bacterial large subunit ribosomal RNA
Source: RNAcentral